AGUGAACGCUGGCGGCGUGCUUAAUACAUGCAAGUCGAACGAUGAAGCUUCUAGCUUGCUCGAAGUGGAUUAGUGGCGCACGGGUGAGUAAUAUAUAGUUAAUCUGCCUUGCACUGAGGAACAACAGUUGGAAACGAUUGCUAAUACCUCAUACUCCAACUUAGCAUAAGUUAAGUUGGGAAAGUCUUUUCGGUGCAAGAUGAGACUAUAUCGUAUCAGCUAGUUGGUAAGGUAAUGGCUUACCAAGGCUAUGACGCGUAACUGGUCUGAGAGGAUGAUCAGUCACAUUGGAACUGAGACACGGUCCAAACUCCUACGGGAGGCAGCAGUAAGGAAUAUUGUGCAAUGGGGGAAACCCUGACGCAGCAACGCCGCGUGGAGGAUGACACUUUUCGGAGCGUAAACUCCUUUUGUUAGGGAAGAAUAAUGACGGUACCUAACGAAUAAGCACCGGCUAACUCCGUG
RNAcentral lists this ribosomal RNA (465 nucleotides) under uncultured bacterium. RNAcentral describes it as "partial 16S ribosomal RNA". It matches the Rfam family "Bacterial small subunit ribosomal RNA", at positions 29 to 507 of the family's 1533-position model. The record is from RNAcentral.